CCUACGGGAGGCUGCAGUAAGGAAUAUUGGACAAUGGUCGGAAGACUGAUCCAGCCAUCCCGCGUGAAGGAUGACUGCCCUAUGGGUUGUAAACUUCUUUUAUAUGGGAAGAAACCCCUGGAUUUAUCUGGGGCUGACGGUACCAUAUGAAUAAGCACCGGCUAACUCCGUGCCAGCAGCCGCGGUAAUACGGAGGGUGCAAGCGUUAUCCGGAAUCACUGGGUUUAAAGGGUGCGUAGGUGGCUUGGUAAGUCAGAGGUGAAAGCCCGUCGCUC
This 275-nucleotide ribosomal RNA is filed under the name uncultured bacterium. RNAcentral describes it as "partial 16S ribosomal RNA". It matches the Rfam family "Bacterial small subunit ribosomal RNA", at positions 338 to 610 of the family's 1533-position model. The record is from RNAcentral.